AGGCCCAGGGAUGGCAUGCUGCUGUUUCUGAGCAGUGCUGGCGAUGAGCUAGAGGGGUUUUGAUGAGAUUCGACACCAGGUGCUCCUCAUUACGUCUCGGCAACACUGUGCCACACUGGGCAAGAAGUGUGUUUCUUCUUCUUCCACUGAGCAGGAGACAGCUGAACUGUCCAACAGACAACUCGGUGCUUUCCUGCAGCUUUGCUACCAGCUUUUGAAAGUAAUGCGAUCUUUCUGCAAUCUUUUAGGGAUAUCCACCUCCUAUAUUUGGGUUUAGAGUACACAUUUAAGGUGACCCGUUCAUCUGAUAGUACACCCAGGUGCUGCAUUUACUGAUUUCUCUGCCAUCAAGAAGCUGAACCACAAAUCUCCAGACAUCUGUCAUCACUAACAGAAGGGCACAAAUAUUAAAAUGGAAACCAUAAAGUUAAAUACAUCAAAGAUACAACCAGAGGAGAAAUAUGAGAUCCUUCUGUAGCAGGCGUAACUCAUUCUCAUUGCCAAUUCAAAAUCAGCCAUAGCAGGAGAAUUUAAUGAUACCAUUGUUUAGAGAAAUUAGACAUGACACUAGCCAGUUACCUUCCAUUUUGGUCAGUUAGGAUUUGUUGUUGUUUGACACUCAUUAGAAAUCACAGUAACCUGCUUUCAGGGCAGUCAAAUUAAGGUUUCCUCUCCCUGUACGAGAUUACUCAUCACACCACAGCUACAGGAUAAUUGGAAAAUAACUAGUGAAUGAGUACACCUUACAGAAGCUGUCAUCUGAGCAUGUCAGUAUCGUACCUGAUAUGAUCCUGUAAAGAAUUUGGUUGUACACACAGCACCUAAGAAAAAACGGUUGUAGGAAAUUAAUGCUACAAUAACUUAUCAAAUGCAAAAAUAAUGACUAAUCCUUAAUCUUUCUGAUUAUUUCUUUACAGAAAUUCAUCUGCCCUUUUGUUUCCUUUAGUGCCUCCGGCAUGAGAACACACCUGAGGUUCUACCUGAGCCUCAGCCCAGCUAUUCUUUGUUCUGAGAGCUACAGUGCUUGCUGGGAAGUUUGAGAGGCUUUGUAGUGGUUGUGCUCACAUUAGCAAGCAGCAAGGUGCAGCAGAUCUGGGGAAUGCAGCAUUUGGUGCCGAUCUGCUAUGUGCAUUUUGGGGGGAUCCACUAGCUAUGAUUGGAACAUUCAGUAGCAACUGGGACAGCUAGGUGAAUUUUUGGAGCACAUCUUGUCAUUUAGUUUUGUCUGAAAGGAAUCUAGUUCUGCAGCGUGGACCUACAUGCAGUAAGGUCAGAAGGGCUGUCCUAGCCUUAAGUAAAACACAAGCCCAUACAAAUGGAGAGGAGUCUGGAGGAAGCCCAUCAGACCUGCAUCUCAUUGCUGGAAAUGGCUAAGGAAAGUUAACCUGAACAUGCACAGCCUGUUUUGUUUUUUUUUUUUCCUAACGUGUUUGCUCUGAAAUGCAUUUUGUUCCAGGGAAGUUCUGCUUUGCAAUCAGGAAGUUGCUUGUUCUGUGAUGAGCACUGCUGCUGCCCCAGAGGGAGGGGAUGGCAGUGUCUGGACGGACUUCAGAUCUACUGAACGAACUUGCUUUUGGUACCCCACCCAAGAUCCAGUCUACAACUGGAAAAGUUGCCUGGUUCCCACUGUAGACUUAGAUUUAGGAGCCAGGAGGUGAUGUGCAUGUGGGGCAUGUCAGACUGGUAGUGUAGUUCAGGUGUAGUGGCGGUGUAGUUCACCCUGCAGCUGUGACAAGUUUCCAGCCUCCCGUAGCAGGAAGAUGUUCAGGUAGGUUUAGCAUUACCAGUUUAUUCUCUUCAAUGCAUUCUUUUUCACUUUAAUUGGAAAAUACACUCCUUGUAUCACACUGCCCAACUCUGCGUGUUCCCUGCGUAUUCAAACAGAAGAUGAAUUCUCAUUUUUGACAGUUCAGCUUACAAAACUGAGAGAGAGAGAGAGAGAAGAAAGACCCUUCUGCAUCAGUGUGAUGAUUGAUCACUUUUUAUUUUUGCUCCGAUGCCAGAUCUGGAUUUGAAAUAGAAAAGUAAUAGACUGUUUCAUGGAGUUACGUGGGGAGGGGGCCCUGGAGGAGGAAUGCAGAGUGCUGUUAGUCAGGGCUGGAGAGAUCAGACAGGCACCAGGAGAACAAAAGCCGCCCCUGUUAGAGAUCUGGGAGCUGGUGCUGGAUGGAGCGGGGCCUCCUGCUGCUCACUGCUCACUGUUGCUGUGGCCAGGCUGGCAUCACUGUGCAGGGAGAAAUGCAGGCAAAGUGCUAAUCUAUCGAAACAGAAGGACAGACUUAGCUUGAGAAGAUGAGCAUGCUGAGCUGAUUUCUGCUCUGUUACACCAUGAAACCUCACUGAUGUCUGUAGAGCUCCCCAGCUGUAACUAAGAGCAGACAGGGGUUCUUUAUGCAUUUUCUCCAGAGCCAAAAUGGUGAGGAUUUUGUGAGAACUGGAGAAAUUGAUACUGAGAUUUUCAGCUCUGCAGGAGGGAAUCUCUGUUUGCUUAAUUUGUGAAGAGACGGUCGUAUAACUUACAGGACAAAAAGCUUAAGCAGUGCAAGCAUCCCCCAGAGUGUAGUGCAGGGUUGGAGGCAGCUAGCAAAAUCUUUCAGGCUGCCCAAGUCUUCUUGCAAUGCUUCCUUCACUCCCUCAAAUACAGAGAAACAGUCACCCCAAAUGUGUUGUGCAAGAGCACGGCGCUGGGACCAGCUGGGCUUAAAACAACCCUGUUUUGUCUAGCUGCCUAUAAAAUUUCUCCCAAAAGGCAAAUGAAAGAGUGGCUUCUGGAAAACAGUUAAUCCCAUAAUUUCACCUCGUUCUCUAGCAAGUGCUUCCAUUACUAAAUGGCCUUCACUUGUUUCUGUUGGGUGUUCUUUCAAGGUGAAAUUUCUCAUUUCCAGCUUUUUGCAGUUGUCUUAGAAAAGGCACCACGGUAUCCCUCUCCCACAGUAGCCCCACAGUUGCCUUUCCCCAUAAGAGUGCCCAUAGCAGAAAUCAGAUCCCUUCUCAGCUACAUCUUUGGUGAGCCAGCAGGACUGGGCUCCUGCAGAAGCACGCAGCACACAGCUCCUGGGUCAUUCUUUUCUCUUUGCCUGACUUCUUUAUUAUCUCUUUCUCCUUACAGGAUGGUACAGAGACUGGACGCAGCUUUCCAGAAGUCACUGGUGCCAUGAACAAGAAGGAAUGCUCGCUGUUGGUGCCUGCCCUUUCUGUGGAGGGAUCAGAGGAGUCCUUCUAUGCAAUCUGUGCUUGUCCUCUAAAUUCUCUUCAAGGCAACUGCUUUCCGAGGCUGCAUCCUUUCCCAACACAACUGUGAGCAAUACCCUGAACGGAGCGCUGCAACUUCAGGUGGAGAAAAGCAACAGAAGCAGAUGGGCUGGUAAACAGCAGAGCUGGCUGCCCCACAGAGGGCCGUGCAGAGCAGAGAGGAGCAGAACGCAGGGAGACUACUGCAGAUCCCAUGGAUUGCAACAGUCCCAGGGAAAAGAGACCUAUGAAAGAUGGCUCCAGAUGUUUUACCUAAUAAAUCAAGGAGUCUCAUCAGAGGAUUGAAUCCAAAAGCUGUUACCAUGACUUCAAAGGCACAGAGUGGAGCAGAAAGAAGCAGCGCGGACAUUUUCUACCAGUCUGCAGUCACUGAUGGUGAAAAUAUACUCUGGUUCCAGGUUUUUUUUCUGUGGGAACCAAAACUCCACCUCGAUUAAAUAAAAUGGUGCCGUGCCCCCAGUCAACAUCUGCUGGAAAAGAAUCCAGGAUGCUGACGCCCAGCAAACUGUCACGGCUGCCUGGGAUUGGUGACAUCUCGAGUGACACGUGUUGGAUCGUCAGAUCAGAGUGGGAGCAGCACAGCUUUGGGAGCCUAAAAAUAGGUUGCUCAGUCCUGCGUCCAAGAGAGUCAGAGAGCACUGAUGGGGGUGAGGAGCUGAACUUCUGUGAACCAGGAAGAAACGCUAGCAAACUUGUGCUGAUUUUGGAGAUGCACAAAAUUUGCAAGAGGUUAGAAAUGAUUUUACAAUAAAAUUUAUGCCGAAUGAUUCAAGGCGUAGCUCUGCUUUCAAACUAGAAGCUGCUGGGAACAGAAGCUUGUUUCUCUCCUUAGCAAAACAGGGCUGAAUCACUGCUGCUACCCUCUGCAAGGAGACUUCCUCACUAUCCUCUCCGAGCUCCAUAACCAUGCACUCCUCUGGACUUUUGCAGCAGCAGCACGGCUCCCUGCCUUUCUUGGCCUCCAUUCCUCCAGGAAAAAUAAACAAAUCCAGUAUCUCUUCCAUGAAGAAUCCAUUACGUUUUAUAGAAAUUCCUUCACAGUGUUUGCAAGGGUGAUGAGAUUCGGAGUAGCAUUCCAGUUGCAGGAAGCAGACCUAAAACUCUGGCUUGAAAGGGAUACCUGAGAAGCUAUGGACAAAUCAGUCGCACUACAGCUGAACUCUGUCCCGGUCCACAUCUAUAAUCUAAUGUCAGUAUUCUUCCCUGUUUCUGCAGAUCAUCAUCCCAGCCUUCACUACAUCUUACUAAUGACGUGUGCCAUUGUUUCUGAACUCUUAAAUUACCCGACUGAAGUAAUUUUGUUCAUCUUUACAGUGCUGCCACAAGUUUCCGUGACUUCUCUGACUUCAGUUUUUGCAAUUUCAAAUAGAAAUACUUCAGUCAGUAUUCACAACAGGGGCUCCUGGAAUCAUUAUGUAUACAUAUAUCUCUCCAGUUUUAAAUAUCUAGAGUAGGAAAGUGAGAUAGAAGCCAUCUGUGAGUGACCUCCAACAGCACUAGAGACGUACAGGGGCUGAAGUUAUCAAUUGUACCUUUCCUUGGUUCGUUUUUCCUUCUGCCUUCUCUGAGGAAAGGGCUUGCUUUUACUGAGUGGUUGUACAGUGCCUAAUACAAUAGGACCAACCUCAGGUAAGACCUUUAGGCACUCCCAUUAUAUGAAUGAGAACAAGAUUGUUGGUGUCAGUAAUUAACAUUCUUGUGGGAUUGUUGGAAAUGCUUUGGGAUAAACACCACCUGGAAUCCUUGCCUGGCUUAUGUGGUUUUUAAGCUGCAGAGGAGGCUGAUCCUGUUCACAUGAGGGGGCAUGGACCCUCUGUCUCUCCUCUUUUUGGGCACAGAAAGAGUCUUUCAGUCCAAAAAUGCAAUACAGAACCUCAGUGAGAAGGGGGAGGCCUGGAAAAGUGAGGGUGUUGCCAACAGGGAAGAAAAAUGGGGAUCGGUUAGCAGCGUGGCCCCAUUAAAGGUCUCACUUAAAGAAAAAAAUCCUAUGACAGUCACCAAAACAGAGAGAACAGUACUGAACUGUGUGCAACUGAUGACACAGUGAAUGCCUGUGGUGCAGGGUCAUCCCAUGGCAGGCUUCCAGAGAUGAAUCUUGCUCUGGUUAAGCAGAUGGCAGAACUCCCCUUGAUUGCACUUAAUGCUUGGCUUUGCCUCUGGUGUUACCUGCAUUUCUCUGCCUCUGAGCGCCCAGACAGCCGCAUCCCACAUCAUUAUGCAAUUCUGAUAACCAAGAAAUUGUGCUCUACAGUGUGGAUUGGAUUCAGUAAGCCUUGCAUUUUGGAUUCUUGGUUUCCUCUAUCUGCACCUGAAAUCCCUGAGUAAACAAACAUAGGAUUAGAUCUCAACAGCUCCUUAGCAGACCAAGCCAUUAAAAGCAUUUCACACCAGCUGCUCCGCUCCCAUUUCGGACUCUAUUAAACACCAAGUCAAGCAAAGGAGUUCACUCUUCCUUCCAGACUUCUGGGAAACAACUGAUCGUGGUGACUAUGGAAUGUUUGCCUCCAUUUGUGACCCCCUCCAGUGAGGAGCUGGAAUUAUCUGGCCGUUGACAUCAGGAACGACGUUAAUAUGUGCUAGAGUUAGAGGCCUUCUGGCAAACAGCCUACUAACCUAGAAUUUGCUCUGCAGUGUCAGGAGUAUGACUUCUAACCUUGGAGCAGCUUGCAAAACCACAUCUGUGAACAAUAAAUAUGAAAAACAGAAAAAAAAUAUCUAGUCCCUGUUGAACAAUGAAAGAGAGCCCAUCGUGCUAGACUCUGCAGUGAUCAGUACGGCAAGCUAUGCAGGCACAAUCAAACUGUUUGCCAAAAGUCUGUGGUUGUAACUCCUACCCAAGGGAUGCAGCACAGCAGAUUAAUCUUAGGGUGAGUAUCUCACAGAUGUAAGUCUUAAACUUAAUGAGCCAGGUCCUUAUUUACGCUGCAGUUCCUUCUUACCCCAAAAUUACCUCUUCCAGCUGCUUGAGGAUGUCCAGUAAUGGGAAAUUCUCUUAAUCAGGAUUACAAUUCUGUGCUAACUCAAGUCCUGCGUAGCAAUAGAGAGAUUAUGUCCAGAGAGGCGGACGUAAUGUAGAGUGCAGCUGAACCACUGAAUUUUAAUUUUAUUGCUCUUCUUGUUGGUAACAGCCAGCACAGUGCAACUCACAGCAGCUUGAGAGUGCUUCCAGAUCUCACCGGGAGUCAGAAAGGUUCAGUGCUAGCCUCAGGGAGUCACAAAAGGUCAGAGAAACUGUCUUUGUUCUGUAACCUUAUUUCUGCACCAAAAAACAGUAGCUUGGCUUUAAACGAGGAAAAACCUCAAGCAAAAGAAAGAAAUUUAAUCACUGAAAUUAAGGUCUUCCUCCAGAUCUCCCUCUGGAGAGUACUCUCUGUCUCUGUUGAUCACACACGAGCGCAGUGUCAACGUUUGAGUGACAGCAUUAAAUCUUGGUUAUAAGGCUUAGAUAUCUCCAAGAGGAGAAAUACAUUUUCCACUCUACAGUUUAGAACUAGCUGAGGCAGGUGAGGUAAAAAAAACUUUCUUCCACUGUUACCAAAGAAGGGAGUUGUUUAUGCGUAGAUAUUACACAUCUGCAGCCUAGAGAUGUUUUUUGCUCCUUAAAUCCAAGAGUUUCAAAGUUAAGAAGUGCCAAUGUUAUGGUGGCCUAUGCAACUGUGAUUUGUUGCCUUUUGUGUAUUUGCAUUAUGAUGCACUAUUUAAUUGUAAUUAGAUCACACGCUGUUCUUUCGACAGGUUCCCAGCCUUGCUCAUUGUGCAGAAUAGACUGUGCUCACUAAGUAAUAAUUUUAUUUUCUCCUUGCUGUUCACUAUGUGGCCCAUGCUUUAUUUACUGCACGCUAUUCAAAUAUUGUUCUGAAGACAGAUUUAUUCAUUUCCUCCUGGGUUUCUGUGUGGUGCUCAUCACUAUGGUAUCCAAGUGCUUCACAAAUUCUAAUUCAUUUUCUCAACGCUGUUGCAAGAACUGGUAUCACCCAUGUUUUACAGAUGAAGAAUCUAGGCAUACAGAUGGAACAGUAAAAAAUAUCUUUUAAUUUUAGCUAUCCAAUUAGAAAUACUCAUGGCCUGAUUCUGUCAGAAAAUACAACGUGGCAAAGCUGAAUAAAACUUAGACAAAGUUGAAUAAAUUCUCAUUUACCACCAGUUCUAUCUGUUAGAGUUCUUCACUUCUGCAGAUAAGACUUCAAUAAGAAUGCCAAACCAGGCCCUAGGCCUUGCAGGCUGCACAACUAUUGCAUAGCAAACCUCUGUCUGGGGCACCAUCCUGAGGCUGCAGCGCUUUCCUGGAGCAGCACCCACCGGAGCCACAGCACGGUGCUUGCUUUUCCUGCAGUCCCCUGCAAGGUACAUAAAAUACCUACAUCUAAUUUUUAUAGGAAAUUAAGUUAUUUGGGCUUUUACUUUUGUUCCUUCACCUUGAUUCAGCAUCAGAGCCAGGCCUAUCUGUUUGCGCUGGCAACAUUUAUUCUGGUAUUUCAUAACUUGGGAGUGUUUUGUAGCCUAACUAAUGUUGCUUUAAUGUAGUUUGCCAUGUCUGUUUCUCUCUCGUAUAGAGGCAACCUUAAAAACAAAACAAAACCACAGCAAUGUAAUCCAUGUUAAACUGGUAUCUAUGUAGGCCAUCAGCAAUGUGGAAAUUUGCUCUGAAAGUGGAAAAAAAUAGCUUGGCUCUCCUGCACACAGUCCAGCACUGUAAGAGGGUGAUGAAUGCUCCCAGUGCAUCUCAGACUCUUGCUGCCAGUAGAUGUGACAGUUUUCCAGAUGGUCUUCAUUCCCAUUUUUCUCCUGCUCCUCUUCUGUUUCUGACUCUUCUCCCAGCAGGCUGGUUCCAGGCUUGUGCACGUGCUUCAUCCCUCCCUGCAGACAGAGCCCCUCUCCAGCCCAACUCCUUCCCAUUGCCCUGGAGAUCCUGUCUUUCUCCAGGCCCUUUGUGCCUGCCAACUUCCCCGACCCACUUCUCGUCCCACCGCACGUCCGGCAGGAGCAGGGAUCACAGCAGGAGAUCCCCACUCGCAUUGCUGGAAGCAGGGAGAGGACCAGAAGGACGGGUUCCCUGCUCAGCCUGGGUGCACUCAGACUUGGCAUGGAGCCGGGCAGCAGGGAACUGGAACGGCAGGUCUGGCUCUGCUCCCUGGGGCUGUGACUACUCUGCAAGCGUGAAACCGCUGCAGGAUGGCACUGGUGAACCCCACAAGCAACAGCAGCGUGCUCAGUAGGUUUUUCUACAGAGCUGUGAGGAAACGUCUCUCACAAGGUGACCCUUGUGCUUUGUAGGCCCAAAUAACCUUUUCCUCUGGCUUGACAGAAGGGAUGACGGCAGUUCUGAAGCAUAACCCAAGGUAUGAACUUUGGGUGCUCUCAGCACAACAACUGUCUGGUGCUAAUAAUGGUGACUGAAGAUGGGAUUUCACGAUGGGAACCGCUAACCAUCACGGCGACGCCUCCAGCCCCACCCGUUCUUCAGUCUGAGCCACAACCAAACCUCCUCAGGAGGAGACAACCCGCGGCUGGAACGCUCCAGGAUGCUGCCAGCGGAGGACAAACCCACAUCCUGACAGAACGCUGGACAAAAAGAUGUGGGUUUUUAGUGCGGGACGGCCGCUUUAUGGAAAGAUGCACCCCGCGAGCAGCGUUGCACUAUCACAGCGCCCCAGUAGCGCUGCCUAUCGCAGGGCUACCCUCUAAGAAAGAGAGCGCGACC
This is a long non-coding RNA of Lagopus muta (rock ptarmigan), 8953 nucleotides long. RefSeq lists it as uncharacterized. The transcript is spliced from 7 exons. The record is from RefSeq and is a predicted model, not a curated record. Lineage: Eukaryota; Metazoa; Chordata; Aves; Galliformes; Phasianidae.